CGGAGUAUGGGGUAGUGGUAGCCCGCGUGCAUGGGGUGCAUGCAGCCUCGGUUCAAUUCCGGGUACUCCGACCA
This 74-nucleotide transfer RNA is filed under the name bacterium. RNAcentral describes it as "tRNA-Pro". It matches the Rfam family "tRNA". From Rfam's summary of the family: Transfer RNA (tRNA) molecules are approximately 80 nucleotides in length. Their secondary structure includes four short double-helical elements and three loops (D, anti-codon, and T loops). Further hydrogen bonds mediate the characteristic L-shaped molecular structure. tRNAs have two regions of fundamental functional importance: the anti-codon, which is responsible for specific mRNA codon recognition, and the 3' end, to which the tRNAs corresponding amino acid is attached (by aminoacyl-tRNA synthetases). tRNAs cope with the degeneracy of the genetic code in two manners: having more than one tRNA (with a specific anti-codon) for a particular amino acid; and 'wobble' base-pairing, i.e. permitting non-standard base-pairing at the 3rd anti-codon position. The record is from RNAcentral.